CCUACCGCUUCCUUCGUUUCUUCUUCACACCAUCGAAUGCUUCGGUGAUCUCUGCUCUCGAUUCUUGAAGGGCUCGGUGGGCACCAUCGGCGGGUAGCACGACCGGGUCGGUCAUGGACGAGGUCGCCUGUUCCACCGGGUCCAUCAAGGUCACCUGCUCUUAUUUGUCUUCCCCUCUCGUAACCUCUGCAGUCCUGUGCUGCAACCCUAAGGAGGAGGGGUUUACCCGAUGGCGGUGUGGCUGUCGAGGGUUGCACCUCUUUGGGAACUUUUGACAAACGAUCGUCAUGCGUUUAGAGUCGUAGGUCGAGGCUAAACGGGUUUGACGAGUCGGUUUCCGACGGGUUUUCUCGUUUUCUCCCGAGGAUGAUAAGAACGUCGUAUUCGCUGCAGCCAACAGGUUGCUACCGACGUUGGUCCAUCUUCUGGACUCCGCCGUCGGUGCCUUCUCCUACCACGAGACGAGGGAGAAGGCCGCAGCGGCGAUCAGGAGGAUCUCGCCCAUGCAGAGCUGUCGCCACCUCCUGCUGGCGGAGGGCCCGCCCCUCCUCAACCACCCUUCCCGCGUCUGGAGUCUGAGGGAGGCGCCACAAAGGAAAAGGCCUUCGUGGCCCUCCAAACCCUAAUGCUAACAAAGGAAAACGGGUCAUCAUCGGAUCCCACGGUGGGAUCACAGCCUUUCGUGAGAUCUGUCGUGCAAGAAAGCCCUUCGCCUCGGCCACCGCCGCCGUAGCGAUCAAGAAAAUUGAGAAGCAACGAGGUGGGUGUGUGCACUCGGUCGUGAGAAUGAUACUGUGCUUCCUUGGUGGAAUGGUGCGAAAAUUGGCUCAAAUGCAGGUGCCAUUUUUAAAGGUACAAGAUUGGUGUUGAUCUUGAUCAGGCGAAAUUUUGGAGUCAUGGAUGUCAUAUUAUCUGCUUAACUUAGUUUCUUGUCUUAGCUAGCACCUUAAACUUUGUAAUCAUGCUUUAUUGUCCUUCAUUUUGCAUCCAUUGCCCAUUAAAAUUCUAACUUUUCAAUCUUGAUGAUUAAAUACCAAUAUAUUAUUUGUUCUCUUUUUGAAGAAUAAUUUGCUUUUCACUUAGCAAUUCUGUUAAUGUCCAUUUACAUGGAACUUCCACCAUGCAUUAAGAGAAAUACUUGCUCAUCCUUAUUCUAGAUUACUGUCCCCCCGAACAAUAAUGUGCAUGACUCUUAUCUUUUGUUUUAAAGCUCAUGUUGUUCAAAAUUAAUAAUGUCAAGCUUGAAGCUUUUUGGUAGUGUCUUCAUAUACCUCCAACUUUGCUUCUUUUUUCUCCUUUCCUUAUAGUUUGAUUUGGUGGGAUUGCUAUGGCAUGAAGGUGACAUUAUGUUUCUUUCUUGGAGAUGAAUGUGCAAGCUUCUGAACUCUUGCAUCAGUAUUGUCUCUCGUCAUGGCCAAUAAAAGACUCGGUGUAGAGCACCAUCGUCGGAAGAAACGACCCAACUUGGGUUGUGUGUGUGGGGCACUAGAAUCUCUCUGGUCAUGGUCCUGACGCUGUUCAUCCACAUAUCCGCGGCGUCUGAUGUGUUGCUUCUGCACGGAGGGAGGCGAAGCGGUCAGUCGUGUGAAGACAACAUGGCCUACUAAUUUCCAGCGGUCGAACGUAAGGCACAUGAGACCUGAUCUCCAUCUCUGAUUCCGAAAGUGCGAAGAGACGCUCCAUCAUCAAUCAAUUUAUGCUCCUUGUAGCAUAAGCAGAACUGACCCCACACAUGAGACCUGCCAUCACUACCGCAAACGUUAUGGACUCCAAAUACAUCAGUUGGUUGUGUUUCUCUCUCUCUCAAUCUUUCGACAGUUCAACCGGUGAGAGACGAAUCGAACUGUACCAAGAAAUGCUGCAACCUCCGUCGUCGGGGGACUCGCUGAAGAUGUCCUCGAUUUCCAUCUUCAGCUCCGCCACGGAAGCUGUCCUUGCGACUUCCACCUCUGCCAACAUCGCAGUCUUGAGGUUUGGCAACGACAGAUCCAGAAGAACAUGCACUUUCUGGAAAGGUCAAAGAAAGUAGCGGAAGGUACCGUAGGAAGAGCCAUCCAAUUUGAGGACGGAGAGGCGGAGAAGCUGCUCGGGGAGGCGGCAAUAGGCGAUGCUUCUGCGCCCGCCAGCGGAGGCGCCGAUGCCGACGACGUCGUCGUCAUCGACGUGUGGGGAUGGCGAAGGAUGCGCAGGCGACCGCGGCAGCUUCCCCCACCCAGGGCACCUCGCCAUCGCUGUACCGGUGAAUGUAUCUCCCCUCUCUGGCGACGGGAGAGAAGAAGAAAAGAAGAAGAAGAAGAAGAACCGAUCGGUGCCUAGGAUGGAAGGGCACGCGAUCCCUUGUCGUCUUCUUUGCCCCUUUGCCUUUUUGUUGCCGACUCCCGUGGUGUAACAGAAACAAGAUUCCUGCAGGGAAACGAGGCGGGGAAGCUAGCCUCCGUUGCGGUGCGCUUGAUCCACGCCGCAGAUCGGUGGUAGCACGGAUCAUUACGAUGACUCCCCUUGCGGUGGACGGUCCUCAUGGCUCCAGUUUCCGUCCGUCCGCCCGUCCUCUGUUUCCGUCAUUGGCAGGUGAUGAACUACGGAUGGGAUCAGCGGAUGCGGUUGGAUUCGAACCUGAACCUAAACAAUAACUGGUGAAGCCUGAAGGGGCCGUUCAAGCGGGCAGCUGCUUGGCCGACGGUUGCGGGGACAGCUCGACGCCGUCGCCGAACCGGCGUAAAUGGCAUAUAUAAUGGGAUCUCAAUCUUCAUCGACGGAUUCAAUUUCUUUCCGCUCCGGUCAAGUGCUUUGUUUCUUUCUGGUUUUUGAUCCCCUAGUAGCAUUAGAUCGAUCGGACGGAUUUCAAUUUGCAGUCACAUACAAUUUGAAUUUAUAUUUCAAACUAGUUGCCUGUCUCUUCUCUUGACAUGUUUUUUCGUAUAGAAAAAAUAUUGCUUUGAGAGAUAAUGGAUAGGACUUAUUUCUACUA
This is a long non-coding RNA of Musa acuminata AAA Group (dessert banana), 2968 nucleotides long. RefSeq lists it as uncharacterized. Lineage: Eukaryota; Viridiplantae; Streptophyta; Magnoliopsida; Zingiberales; Musaceae. The transcript has 5 exons. The record is from RefSeq and is a predicted model, not a curated record.